RNAcentral lists this transfer RNA (60 nucleotides) under Vaejovis smithi. Its description in RNAcentral is "tRNA-Val". The record is from RNAcentral. Lineage: Eukaryota; Metazoa; Arthropoda; Arachnida; Scorpiones; Vaejovidae.
UAGAAUAAAGCUGAUUCAGCAAUUUACUUACACUAAAAAGAUUCUAUUAAGAUGUUCUAU